CAAUAGCGUAUAUUAAAGUUGUUGCAGUUAAAAAGCUCGUAGUUGGAUUUCUGGUGGGAGCGAUCGGUCUGGCGCUUAGCGCGAGUACUUGCAUCGUCUCCGGCCAUCCUUGGGGAGAGUCUGUCUGGCAUUAAGUUGUCGGGCAGAGGAUCCUCAUCGUUUACUGUGAAAAAAUUAGAGUGUUCAAAGCAGGCCUACGCUCUGAAUACAUUAGCAUGGAAUAACACGAUAGGACUCUGGCCUAUCUUGUUGGUCUGUAGGACCGGAGUAAUGAUUAAGAGGGACAGUCGGGGGCAUUCGUAUUUCAUUGUCAGAGGUGAAAUUCUUGGAUUUAUGAAAGACGAACUACUGCGAAAGCAUUUGCCAAGGAUGUUUUCAUUAA
This 382-nucleotide ribosomal RNA is filed under the name uncultured eukaryote. Its description in RNAcentral is "partial 18S ribosomal RNA". It matches the Rfam family "Eukaryotic small subunit ribosomal RNA", at positions 592 to 976 of the family's 1831-position model. The record is from RNAcentral.